Oreochromis niloticus (Nile tilapia) is the source of this 2010-nucleotide long non-coding RNA. RefSeq lists it as uncharacterized. NCBI's taxonomy places the organism in Eukaryota, Metazoa, Chordata, Actinopteri, Cichliformes, Cichlidae. The transcript is spliced from 4 exons. The record is from RefSeq and is a predicted model, not a curated record.
GAAACCUCCAGCAGAACCAGGCUCAGGUAGGGGCAGCCAUCUGUCGCCAUUUAGUAGGGGUGAGGGGCAGGAGACAGAACAAAAAACACACCAUGGAAGAGAGCCAGAGAUCAAUAAUAAUUAAUCAUUAAAUGCAAAGUAGCAUAUAAACACAUAGUGAGUGAAAAACUUUAUUCUCUACACUCCAAGCAUUUUAUCUACCUCACAUUCACAGCCAGGUUUGAAUCACCAAUUAGCCUGACAUUCAUGUCUUUAGACUGUGGGAGGAAGCUGGAGUAUCUGGAGAAAACGCACAUCAGGUACUGGAGCUGGUCAAAUAUGCAAACACCACACAGAAAGGUCCCAGCCAGGAUUGAAACCAGAAGCUUUUUCUGCUAUGAGCAAAGUCUCGAGCAUGUGGACGAUAUACCCAGAGAUUGGUAGAAGGCUCAACAGGGAAACAGGUGUCAACCCAGCUGCAGGAGCGACAUUUGCUCUUUCGUUUGAGGAGAAACAGGAGGAACAUUGCCAGAGCUCUACAAUGUGACCUCCAGUGAGCUACUUAUCCAUGUUCCUGACCAAACUGUCAGACUCUGUGAGAGUGGCAUGAAGGUCUGGCAUCCUGGAACCUAUUCUCACAGCAUAGUACUGUGUAGGGUAUUGACACUGAUGACUCUUUGGAUAUCGUGCAAAGAGGUCUGAUUUCUUAUUCACAUUAAUCUCAGACAACCAAAUACUGUUACUGUAAGAUAUAUACAUACAUACAUUUUCUUCCGCUUAUCUAAUUCAGUGUCGCGAGGCAGCUGAGAUAGGCUCCAGCCCCCCUGCGACCCUGAAAUAUAUAUCAUAAUAAAAAGUUAACUUAUACAUAUACAUAAUAAAAUAAAGUAUUUUUCAUUUCCCAGUUGAAUAUCAUCAAUCAAUUAAAAUCACAGUUUUGUAUCAUAAUAAUCAUUUACCAUCUAAGUAUGUAAUGAGCCCUCUCCUGCCAUUCCGUCAGAAGCCUGGGCACCAACAACAAACACAAUGACCAAGGUGAUCUUUACAAAACACAUGGCAGACAGUAAAAGGUUAAACAUGUUUUGAUAUAACCAAGUGUGUCCUCUCGUGUUUGCCUGUGUUUGGGUGUGUUUUUCUGCCUGAAUUCAGUAGCUAAUGAGGGGGUUAAGCGCAGACAGUUCUGGGACACUGUUUAGGAGCUUAGAUUUAUUAGUACUCUGUCACAUCUGCCGGGCUCUUAUCAUCAUCUGUAUUAUCCUGUCUUUCUUCAAAUCAAUUUUGGUCUUAGUUGGAAUGAAGUGCACUAAGAUCGAAGGGUCCGAGCUUGCUAAUGCAAGAGUAACCUUUGCCGGAGGGAUGAACUACCUUAUAGGAGGCAAGACAAAAAUUUGGGUGAACUGAGUCACAUUGUGAUAUACUGCACUGUUUAAUAUUUAAAUAAAUGUGUGAGUAUUGUUUCAGGGAUGUGUUCUGUGAUUGCUUUCUCCUACUAUGGAAACAAAAUAAGAGUUGAAUUUGAAGAUCCAAACUAAAUGGAACAGAAGUUUGAAAUAGGAGUAGGUGUCGUCAUUGGCUGGGGAGGCUCUACCUUACUUGUUUCUGGGGGCCUUAUUUACAGUAUCUUUGCAGGAAGAGAAGGUGCUGCUCAAGCCCAAAGAAAUACCCUGAAAACCAGCUCCGUGAUUCCGUGAUACCAACACGAAAGAACCAAGUGUCCUGGGCUCCCUAGUGAUAGAUACAAAUUCAAGGACCACCAAGUCCAGCAACAGCAGCAGCAGCAGAGCCAGUAGCGUCUCAGCAAUCACCAACACCACUAAACACCACUACAGCUACUAGCUCAUAUCACAAAAGCAUGUCCAUCUUGGUUUGGGAGGGCCUCUAGCUUCUUUUAAUUUAAGUAACAUCUGUGUUGUCUAUUUAGCAAAGCAGUAAAGAUCAGUUUGAAAUGUUAUUUUCUUCCAUGUAUUUAUCAAGUUUUAAACUUUACAAUAACACCACCAUUAAACAAAACAAAACAAAACAAACAACCCA